Long non-coding RNA from Oreochromis niloticus (Nile tilapia), 1162 nucleotides. RefSeq lists it as uncharacterized. NCBI's taxonomy places the organism in Eukaryota, Metazoa, Chordata, Actinopteri, Cichliformes, Cichlidae. The transcript is spliced from 2 exons. The record is from RefSeq and is a predicted model, not a curated record.
GCGAUAAUAGCUGAACAAGCAGGAAGAGGAGAGCUGGAUACUUUUAUCUGCGCUCUCUAACAAGAAGAAGGGCUGCGUCCUUCUGAAUCUCACAACACACACACACACCUGAACCACUCUUAUCUCCACUCCCUAUGCACUAACAUUCCGGAACAGAAUGUUCCAGUAAGAUAGCCACAUACUGUUGUAUAGUCAUUUUUCUGAGAAGAGCGAAAAUACGCCGCCCUGUUGUGUGGGCACCAGUGACUAUAAAGGCACGAAUAAAGAAGUACACUGUGUGACUCUCACUUGAGACGUUCACCCAUGUACAUGUGAUUAAGUAUUUUGUCUCACUGUGUUUCUGUUUGCCUUGGCAGACUUCUGUUUGGGAUUUUCCCUUAACAUUCACAUAUAUGAAUAGUCAUGGGUCAAAGCUUUGGAGCGCCAUUCCAGAAGUUUGAUGUUAGUCUGCUUCUAGCUGUUGAUUUGAGGUGAAGUUAAAGAAUCUGGAGGCAGCUCUUCUUCUUCAUUAUUCCAUCCAGUUUGUGAAACGCAUCAGUACCACUGACAGUAAAAGCAGCUCCAGAGGAUGAUGGUACCACCACCAUGCAUGUUCAUAGGCUAGAAAGCCCAACCUUUACUCCUCCAAACAUACCUGUUGUCAUUGUGGCCAGGUAGUUCAAUCUUUGUCUCAAAUGACCAUAAACUUUUCUCCAGAAGGCAGAAUUGCAGUCAAGCUUGGUGUCGAUGUUGGAGCAGAACAUUCUUUCUUUGUUGCUACCCUCUCAGUCCAUGAUGAUGUAAAAGUCAUGUUGAAAUUCCUCUGUUAUGAGGGAGACAGACGAAGUGGUGACACAUCCAAACAAGUUGUAUUUAUAUACAGUUGUUUGAACCGAUGAUGUUGGAAUGUGUAGUUGUAUAGAAAUGGCUCUAAGAGACCUUCCCAACUUAAAUGUACAGUUCUCCUUCUUAGAGCUUCACUGAAUUCCUUCGACUUUCCCAUUGUUCUACAUAUUGUUCAGUCCGAUGAGUGACGUCAGACACAAUUCUUUUUAUACUGGCAAAGAUAACUGCCUGUUGUAGUCAGUUAUGAUCACUAACAAGAAAUUAUUAGGCCUCAACCUUGUCAAGUUGAGCCCAUCGGCAGCACUUAUUAAAAGAUUUAAGUGAGUGUAUGUGUAUA